Molecule: long non-coding RNA, 210 nt
Organism: Diprion similis
Lineage: Eukaryota; Metazoa; Arthropoda; Insecta; Hymenoptera; Diprionidae
Exons: 4
Source: RefSeq, a predicted model, not a curated record
GGCUAUGAUAAGAGUAAUUCUACCGUAUUGAAGAUGUACACGCGUGUAAUAAUCACACUGCCUACGUUGAUAUUUUACAUCUACAAUCGAUCAAUUAUCUAUUUAUACUCAAACUUCCGGUGCAGACGAUUGUUUGUUUGGUUAUCUACAAAUGUUGUUCUCAAAUCAAACUUUGCACUGUAUAUAUAUAUACAUAGAUUGUUUCAACAA